AGGUAAUAGAUACCCUGGUAGUCCACGCCGUAAACUAUGGAUGCUAGCUGUUAUCAGUAUCGACCCUGGUAGUAGCGAAAGCUAACGCGUUAAGCAUCCCGCCUGUGGAGUACGAGCGCAAGCUUAAAACAUAAAGGAAUUGACGGGGACCCGCACAAGCGGUGGAGCGUGUUGUUUAAUUCGACGGUAAGCGAAGAACCUUACCAGGGUUUGACAUCCCGCCAAGGUCUCCGAAAGGAGACUGUGCCUUCGGGCCGCGGUGACAGGUGCUGCAUGGCCGUCGUCAGCCUCGUGUCGUGAGAUUGGUUUAGGUUAACGUCCAU
RNAcentral lists this ribosomal RNA (323 nucleotides) under uncultured bacterium. RNAcentral describes it as "bacterial SSU rRNA". It matches the Rfam family "Bacterial small subunit ribosomal RNA", at positions 774 to 1090 of the family's 1533-position model. The record is from RNAcentral.